RNAcentral lists this ribosomal RNA (460 nucleotides) under uncultured bacterium. RNAcentral's name for it is "partial 16S ribosomal RNA". It matches the Rfam family "Bacterial small subunit ribosomal RNA", at positions 338 to 795 of the family's 1533-position model. The record is from RNAcentral.
CCUACGGGCGGCAGCAGUGAGGAAUAUUGGUCAAUGGCCGGAAGUCUGAACCAGCCAAGUCGCGUGCAGGAAGAAGGCUCUAUGGGUUGUAAACUUCUUUUAUAGGGGAAUAAAGGUAUCCACGUGUGGAUAUUUGCAUGUACCCUAUGAAUAAGCAUCGGCUAACCCCGUGCCAGCAGCCGCGGUAAUACGGAGGAUGCGAGCGUUAUCCGGAUUUAUUGGGUUUAAAGGGUGCGUAGGUGGUGUUUUAAGUCAGCGGUGAAAGUUUGUGGCUCAACCAUGGAAUUGCCGUUGAAACUGGAAGGCUGGAGUGUGUGUGAGGUAGGCGGAAUGCGUGGUGUAGCGGUGAAAUGCAUAGAUAUCAGGCAGAACUCCGAUUGCGAAGGCAGCUUACGAAGCUAUAACUGACACUGAGGCACGAAAGCGUGGGGAUCAAACAGGAUUAGAUACCCCGGUAGUC